This 252-nucleotide ribosomal RNA is filed under the name uncultured bacterium. Its description in RNAcentral is "partial 16S ribosomal RNA". It matches the Rfam family "Bacterial small subunit ribosomal RNA", at positions 524 to 776 of the family's 1533-position model. The record is from RNAcentral.
UACGGAGGAUGCGGGCGUUAUCCGGAUUUAUUGGGUUUAAAGGGUGCGUAGGCGGGCUUUUAAGUCAGCGGUAAAAAUUCGGGGCUCAACCCCGUCCGGCCGUUGAAACUGGGGGUCUUGAGUGGGCGAGAAGAAGGCGGAAUGCGUGGUGUAGCGGUGAAAUGCAUAGAUAUCACGCAGAACCCCGAUUGCGAAGGCAGCCUUCCGGCGCCCUACUGACGCUGAGGCACGAAAGUGCGGGGAUCGAACAGG